GACGAACGCUGGCGGCGUGCUUAACACAUGCAAGUCGUACGGUAAGGCCCUUUCGGGGGUCCACGAGUGGCGAACGGGUGCGUAACACGUGAGUAACCUGCCCACAACUUUGGGAUAACGCUAGGAAACUGGUGCUAAUACUGGAUAUGUGCUCCUGCUGCAUGGUGGGGGUUGGAAAGCUCCGGCGGUUGUGGAUGGACUCGCGGCCUAUCAGCUUGUUGGUGGGGUAGUGGCCUACCAAGGCGGCGACGGGUAGCCGGCCUGAGAGGGUGACCGGCCACAUUGGGACUGAGAUACGGCCCAGACUCCUACGGGAGGCAGCAGUGGGGAAUAUUGCACAAUGGGCGCAAGCCUGAUGCAGCAACGCCGCGUGCGGGAUGACGGCCUUCGGGUUGUAGACCGCUUUCAGCAGGGACGAAGCUUUUUGUGACGGUACCUGCAGAAGAAGCACCGGCUAACUACGUG
This 465-nucleotide ribosomal RNA is filed under the name uncultured bacterium. RNAcentral describes it as "partial 16S ribosomal RNA". It matches the Rfam family "Bacterial small subunit ribosomal RNA", at positions 28 to 507 of the family's 1533-position model. The record is from RNAcentral.